Molecule: ribosomal RNA, 429 nt
Filed under: Pseudomonadota bacterium
Lineage: Bacteria; Pseudomonadati; Pseudomonadota
Description: Proteobacteria bacterium partial 16S ribosomal RNA
Rfam family: Bacterial small subunit ribosomal RNA
Source: RNAcentral
UGGGGAAUAUUGGACAAUGGGCGAAAGCCUGAUCCAGCCAUGCCGCGUGUGUGAAGAAGGUCUUCGGAUUGUAAAGCACUUUAAGUUGGGAGGAAGGGCAGUAAGCGAAUACCUUGCUGUUUUGACGUUACCGACAGAAUAAGCACCGGCUAACUCUGUGCCAGCAGCCGCGGUAAUACAGAGGGUGCAAGCGUUAAUCGGAAUUACUGGGCGUAAAGCGCGCGUAGGUGGUUCGUUAAGUUGAAUGUGAAAGCCCCGGGCUCAACCUGGGAACUGCAUCCAAAACUGGCGAGCUAGAGUAGGGCAGAGGGUGGUGGAAUUUCCUGUGUAGCGGUGAAAUGCGUAGAUAUAGGAAGGAACAACAGUGGCGAAGGCGACCACCUGGGCUCAUACUGACACUGAGGUGCGAAAGAGUGGGGAGCAAACAGG